RNAcentral lists this ribosomal RNA (305 nucleotides) under uncultured bacterium. RNAcentral's name for it is "bacterial SSU rRNA". It matches the Rfam family "Bacterial small subunit ribosomal RNA", at positions 338 to 660 of the family's 1533-position model. The record is from RNAcentral.
CCUACGGGGGGCAGCAGUGGGGAAUAUUGCACAAUGGGGGAAACCCUGAUGCAGCGACGCCGCGUGAGUGAAGAAGUAUUUCGGUAUGUAAAGCUCUAUCAGCAGGGAAGAUAAUGACGGUACCUGACUAAGAAGCUCCGGCUAAAUACGUGCCAGCAGCCGCGGUAAUACGUAUGGAGCAAGCGUUAUCCGGAUUUACUGGGUGUAAAGGGAGCGCAGACGGCAAGGCAAGUCUGAUGUGAAAGUCCGAGGCUCAACCUCGGGACUGCAUUGGAAACUGUCUGGCUAGAGUGCAGGAGAGGUAA